Molecule: ribosomal RNA, 465 nt
Filed under: uncultured bacterium
Lineage: Bacteria
Description: partial 16S ribosomal RNA
Rfam family: Bacterial small subunit ribosomal RNA
Source: RNAcentral
GACGAACGCUGGCGGCGUGCUUAACACAUGCAAGUCGAACGGAAAGGCCCCUUUGGGGGUACUCGAGUGGCGAACGGGUGAGUAACACGUGAGUAACCUGCCCUUGACUUCGGGAUAACUUCAGGAAACUGGGGCUAAUACCGGAUAGGAAUCCUUGCUGCAUGGUGGGGGUUGGGAAGCUUCGGCGGUUUUGGAUGGACUCGCGGCUUAUCAGCUUGUUGGUGGGGUAGUGGCUUACCAAGGCUUUGACGGGUAGCCGGCCUGAGAGGGCGACCGGCCACAUUGGGACUGAGAUACGGCCCAGACUCCUACGGGAGGCAGCAGUGGGGAAUAUUGCACAAUGGGCGGAAGCCUGAUGCAGCAACGCCGCGUACGGGAUGACGGCCUUCGGGUUGUAAACCGCUUUCAGCAGGGGCGAAGCUUGUGGUGACGGUACCUGCAGAAGAAGCACCGGCUAACUACGUG